This 413-nucleotide ribosomal RNA is filed under the name uncultured archaeon CRE-FL10a. RNAcentral describes it as "bacterial SSU rRNA". It matches the Rfam family "Archaeal small subunit ribosomal RNA", at positions 31 to 449 of the family's 1478-position model. The record is from RNAcentral.
UAUUGGAGUUCGAUUAAGCCAUGCGAGUCCAGAGCUUUCGGAGCUCGGCGUACCGCUCAGUAACACGUGGGUAACCUAACCUAUGCAGGGGAAUAACCUCGGGAAACUGAGAAUAAUGCCCCAUAGUCCACUACGCCUGGAACGGUGAGUGGAUGAAAGCUCAGGCGGCAUAGGAUGGGCCUGCGGCGUAUCAGGUUGUAGGGGGUGUAAAGUACCCUCUAGCCCUCUACGCGUACGGGUGUUGGGAGACAUAGCCCGGAGAUGGAUUCUGAGACACGAAUCCAGACCCUACGGGGUGCAGCAGGCGCGAAAACUUGGCAAUGCGAGCAAUCGUGACCAGGGAACUCCAAGUGGCUGGGGUAAGACCAGUCUUUUCAGAACUCUUCAAAGGUUUUAGAAUAAGGGGUGGGUAA